RNAcentral lists this ribosomal RNA (497 nucleotides) under uncultured bacterium. RNAcentral describes it as "partial 16S ribosomal RNA". It matches the Rfam family "Bacterial small subunit ribosomal RNA", at positions 28 to 507 of the family's 1533-position model. The record is from RNAcentral.
GAUGAACGCUGGCGGCGUGCCUAAUACAUGCAAGUCGAGCGAACAGACGAGGAGCUUGCUCCUCUGACGUUAGCGGCGGACGGGUGAGUAACACGUGGAUAACCUACCUAUAAGACUGGGAUAACUUCGGGAAACCGGAGCUAAUACCGGAUAAUAUAUUGAACCGCAUGGUUCAAUAGUGAAAGACGGUUUUGCUGUCACUUAUAGAUGGAUCCGCGCCGCAUUAGCUAGUUGGUAAGGUAACGGCUUACCAAGGCAACGAUGCGUAGCCGACCUGAGAGGGAGAUCAGCCACACUGGAACUGAGACACGGUCCAGACUCCUAUGGGAGGCAGCAGUAGGGAAUCUUCCGCAAUGGUGGAAAGCCUGACGGAGCAACGCCGCGUGAGUGAUGAAGGUCUUCGGAUCGUAAAACUCUGUUAUUAGGGAAGAACAAAUGUGUAAGUAACUAUGCACGUCUUGACGGUACCUAAUCAGAAAGCCACGGCUAACUACGUG